AGGAACUUUUGCAGAGACUGAAAUGGCAUAUAAGGCAGUCUUGACAGAUUGGCCACUGAGCAGCAUGACAGCUGCCUCCUCAUCCCCUGCUAGCAUGCAGACUCACAGGAAACUAUUGGCUGUCAAUCAAAUGGAAUUUCUAAAUAGUACAGGCAUGAGGGGAAUAUAUGUGGACUACUGCAAUCACUGCAAGUACAGCUGAGCUGCCAAAAUGAUGGAAUCCAUAGGCACCGAGCAUGAAAACCUGGAAAUGGAGAUUUGAUUCUUAUGUGCAAAGAGCAAAUUGUGGGAUUUUCUGUCUUCCAAGUCCCCGUGCUAAAGUCCUAACACGCUCGGAUAAUGACACCACAAGAACUUGUGGAUAAAUUAUUUGGAUGUCCAGAAAUCCGCAGUGGCAUGUAAACCACCUGGAGCAAAGCCUUUAUUUAAUGCUGUCACAAACAGAGGAAAUAUGGUCCGGAGAUAGAUAAGGAGUCAUUUUCCUGUAGAAUGGGGAAAGAUAGCAGAUUUCUUCGCCAUCCAAACAACUGCCUAUUGAGAUGAUCCUAUUGCUAACUGUUAACUUUCUGCAGGUAUUGUCAUCCUCCUUGCAUCAGACUCACUAAAAUGACACAGAUGUGAUUUCCUGAGAUGAAUAGGACAAAAGAUUGAUAAACUAACCAUUAUCAACUCAUGAGUGAAAUUCAUUGAUGUAUUAUGUAACACAAAGCAAAAAAGUAAAUGACUGACAGAUUGAUCGCCAGCAUAGGUUUCAGUAAUUGGUUCUCAAAUGAGAAAAUUAAGGAUGCAUAAAGCGUAAGUCAAUCCUAUCCCCUUGCUUUGUAUCUGCACAAUUUAAUCUAAAUUUAGCAUGAAUAAACGUGAUGGGUAGAUAUCAUGCAAAUUAUCAUAUUUUGAGGUGUUGGGUAAUAUCUUCCCUGUAUGUGGCCCAAUCAGGCAGUUUUGUCAGUAAAUAGCAGGCUCUACCAUGCUGAGUAAUAAUUAAAAAAAGAAAUACAAAAUCAGAUACAGAAAUAAAUUAAUUUACCUUCUGUUUGACAUAAGAGUAUGGACGUCAAUAGAAAAAUGUAGUGCUGUAAAAAAAAUAAAAUGUUUAACUACAUUUAUCGCUAGUUUUUCAUUUCUGAAGCUAAUUUAUUUAAUGAGUAGGAUAUGACAGGGUUAAGGAAAAUGUAUUUUUAACUUUUUCUUACUUUGAUUCACUAUGGUAAGCCUAUUAUAAGUGUUUAUAUUUUAGACCUGACAGUCAUACAGAGCUGAACAGUUAUGCAGAGCAGAAGCACAAACAAAACAAUGUUCUUCUACAAAAUGCAUCCAGUUUUAGUUUUUUGUAAGAUAUGAUUGGUGAUUUAUCUCCAAUCUAAACAAUACAUCCAAUGUAAUAACUGAUAUUAACCAUUUGAAUCUAAUGGUGACAUGACAUGUCAACAAAUGGAAAAGUCACCCAGCUUUUUAUCACCACAUCAGUUAUUAUACCUUUAGCCCCAACAAUACGGGCACUUUUUACCCCAAAUUCCAUACUUCACAUAUUCUUCAAUUAUAAAAUAAUAAUAAUAAUGAAAAAAAAAAAAGUUAAUUUAAUUAGCUUGAACAAAACAGAAAAUCAUUAACACGACCUUUCUAUGUAUACAUUUGGUAAUUUUAAUGAUUCUCAUUUGCUGCUACAUAAAUGUGAGGUGAGGUUUUUUUUUUUUUUUUUUUGAUUUUGAGGAAAAUAAAAUCAAAUGUGUGUCAUUUAGUCCUGUUGUACCCUAUGUAUAACAUUGUUACUUGUAAUAAACACUGUGGAGAACUAGAUUUAGCUACUACUGAUAACUACUGAUUUAGCCCAUAGCUGAUAUGUCCUUGAUCAAGUCAUGCAGUCAACACUAUAUGAUGAAUGAAACUAGGACUCAUUAGAUAAACUUUUGUCAUUGUAUGAAUCAGGCCCUGGGGGAUUGAAAAGCUUCAGUUUAAAGUGGAGAAACAUGCUAAACAGUUUGUGGAAAGACUAAAUUGAGCCGUCUGAUUAAGAUUUCUCUCAUAUUACAUCAUAUUACAAGGGAAAACAGCAUUCGCCUGAUGUGCCUAUAUUUCCAUCUUCGGUAGAUGUGCCCUUGGAAACCAAACAUUGAUGAGAUUUUACAAUUGCCAUGACUCCAUUUUGUCCUGUUUCUUGGUGCUGUUUAUUGAUCCAUUUCAGUUUCAGCUGUAUAAGGAGUGUGCUGUCUCAUCUCUUAUCAGCAUGCUCUGAUUAGGUAAAACCAUCAUGCCAAACAAGGUUUUUAUAGAAUAUGCUGCACACAAUUUGGCUAGUUAGUUUGUAUUUUUUUUCUCUCUCUCUUCUAAUGCAGAUAGUAUCAAAAGGUGCCAAAGCAAAGGUGCUCUGACUCACCCGUGCAAAAUUACUUUUCUCCAUGUUGCAUGUGUUCUGGCGUUCUGAAAUAUCCCAGUGCUUUUGUCUAAAGAAUUGUACUUAUAAUUUUGUUGUUUCUGUCAAAGCUCUAAUUUGUAGCUGUUUGUUUCACUCAAAAGUGCCUUCGGAACCAGCUUAUCAACACAUUUGUUAUUGUAGGUUAAAUGACCCCAAUUAACAUAACAGAUGCAAUAUUCAGAUGUCUGAUCGCCAAAUAUGAUAAAUGGAAAUGACCUCCAAAGUGUAAUCCAUUAAAUGCUGGAAUCUUUGUGCAGUCAGGAAUAAACACCUUAGCCAUUAAACUCGCCAUUAUCAUUACAAUUAUUUGAAUGUUUCAGAAUGGAGUGUUGCAUCCUGAAUAAGUUGACAUGGUUCUCUAUUACUGUAAUGACCAUAUCCAAAUUAUUUAUUUUGAGAAAGAAAGAAAGAAAGAAAGAGAAAAAGAAAGAAAGAAAAAGAAUUGGAGGUAUUGGAUCAGCUUUUACAUAAUAAAAAAUGAUAUUUUGACUGAAACUUUACGAUUAUCCAAAUGAAAAGAUCUGGGAAGAAUAGAUAACCUUUAACUGCUAUUUGAGCUUUUUCUUUUUAUCAGCAGUUACAGGUCAAGCAUGACCAUUUUAUUUGUCCUUUAUCAAUGUCAGAUACAUUCCAAUUAUGAACCCAUUGCGUGAUUACCGACCUAUAUUAACCAAUAUACUCAUCGUUAUUCUGAUGGGUUCGUGUUUCACAACGUAACAUUUAACAGCACCGCCACAGUUCAUUGGAUUUGAUUCCCUGGGUUUGUCGUUUAGAUGUCUUUCAAAUGUUAAUAUGCCUCACUCCAUUUAGAUCCGCUUAAAAUGACUCCCAGUAUUAGAAUUAAAGUCAACGCCUGCAGUAUUUGUGCCUUGCUUGUGGUCUGUAUAGUAUGUAAAAUUCCAGUGUGUUCCAAAAGUGUCGCUCUGUGUCAAAUAAUAAUGGUAGUCUUGCAUAUUUCAAAAGAAACGGGAUUGUAAUGAAAACACUUUCUUGUUAGAACCCCAUAAUAAUACCAAGACACCAUACAUUUACAAGUGUAUAUUUAUAUAGCACCUAUUGGUUCUACUUUUGUUUGUUUUUUCAGACCACAAAAAGAGAAAUGUUCCCAGUCACACUCAUUCAUAUAAUGACAGUAAAUAGGGACCAAUGACAAGUUUUUAAAAAAGUUGCAAAAGUAUCCAAAACUUCCCAUGCGACACAUCGUAUAUUCCAAGUGUUCUGGGGGUAUAUGAUAGGGUAUGGUGAAAAAAAAAACAGAAAUGUACUGAAAUGUAAUACAACUCUCCAAAAAGUAUCCGUGUACUUUCUUCGCCAAGUUAAAUAUCUCCGGACCGGAACUCCAGUUGUCAGAUGACAGUCAAAAUGACAGUUGACAGAUGUGAAUGCGAAAACUUCUUGCUGCAACUAACAUAACAUGUAUAUUCAUUCACCUCAGAGAAGAAAGUACAUGGAUUGUAUUCCAUGUCACGAUUUUAUUAAUCUUGAUUUCUUACAAUUUGUGUGCUUUUUCUGGGCAAGUUGGAGUGAGUACUCAUCCCAGGUCAGAUAAUAAGUGGAAAAAAAGCAUCUCGUUGGGCUGCAAUUUUUUUCUCUGAGUAAGGAAUGAGUAAAGAAUCACCUACCUGCUUCACUUACCUCUUUAUAUUAUUACUCCAUCAUCUCUCUUGAUCUUUUGCGUCUCUCUGAUCUUCUGUGUCUCCAGCGUCUUCUACUCCUUACAUGCUCCUUACAUGCUCCACUGUUCUCACCGAAGUGUGUGCACAGCUGCUCUCGUCCACGACCUCCUCAAUCACCUGCAAUACAAAGAACUGUCAGUAUUUCCAUCCAUUACUGCAUUACUGCUUUGACCUGCUUUUUUACUUUACCUGCAUCAUCCAAUAAACUCUCAUAUUCAUUUCUA
Molecule: long non-coding RNA, 4313 nt
Organism: Megalobrama amblycephala (Wuchang bream)
Lineage: Eukaryota; Metazoa; Chordata; Actinopteri; Cypriniformes; Xenocyprididae
Exons: 3
Source: RefSeq, a predicted model, not a curated record